RNAcentral lists this long non-coding RNA (542 nucleotides) under Vulpes vulpes (red fox). Its description in RNAcentral is "lncRNA (ENSVVUG00000016078.1)". Lineage: Eukaryota; Metazoa; Chordata; Mammalia; Carnivora; Canidae. The record is from RNAcentral.
UUUUGAUCUCUAGGGAGGAGUGCUUAUGGGGACAAUUGGGGGAAGCAGGACUGAGUUCUGAGGUACGCCAAUAUUUACAAGUUGAGUGGAUGAGAAACCUAUAAAGAAGAAUGAGAAGAAAUGAUAAGGAGAAGCAGUAGGUAUUCUACAAUAAAUUGAUCAUCCUUCUAUUAUUGAGAAGAGAAAAAUAAAACAGAAAAGAAUAAAGAGGAAAUGGAAGGACUUGAAAUACGCAGAAAAAAAAAUAACUCAAAAGGCAGCAAAAGCUAAUGAGGAAACAGUACUGGAGGAAAAUGAGCAUGUAAUUGCUUACAUAAUCCUAUUCAGAAGAGCAUGGGAGACAUCCCCAAGGAAUUUCUGGAACUUUAAAGAAGGGGUCAGAUUUUCAUGGAGUUAAUAAAGAUUUGCUCAGAGUCACAGAAAGAAGGAAAAAAUAGCAGGAAGAGGAAAAAGAGAAGAAAGAAGGAAAAUAGGAAAAGAGAGAGGGAGAGAUAGAGGGAGGAAAGAAAAUACAGUUUACUUUUGAACAAUAUGGGUUUGAA